Molecule: transfer RNA, 74 nt
Filed under: Vibrio parahaemolyticus 10296
Lineage: Bacteria; Pseudomonadati; Pseudomonadota; Gammaproteobacteria; Vibrionales; Vibrionaceae
Description: partial tRNA-Leu
Rfam family: tRNA
About the family: Transfer RNA (tRNA) molecules are approximately 80 nucleotides in length. Their secondary structure includes four short double-helical elements and three loops (D, anti-codon, and T loops). Further hydrogen bonds mediate the characteristic L-shaped molecular structure. tRNAs have two regions of fundamental functional importance: the anti-codon, which is responsible for specific mRNA codon recognition, and the 3' end, to which the tRNAs corresponding amino acid is attached (by aminoacyl-tRNA synthetases). tRNAs cope with the degeneracy of the genetic code in two manners: having more than one tRNA (with a specific anti-codon) for a particular amino acid; and 'wobble' base-pairing, i.e. permitting non-standard base-pairing at the 3rd anti-codon position.
Source: RNAcentral
GCGGAAGUGGCGGAAUUGGUAGACGCACCAGAUUUAGGUUCUGGCGCCGCAAGGUGUGAGAGUUCAAGUCUCUC